Paramisgurnus dabryanus is the source of this 705-nucleotide long non-coding RNA. RefSeq lists it as uncharacterized. Lineage: Eukaryota; Metazoa; Chordata; Actinopteri; Cypriniformes; Cobitidae. The record is from RefSeq and is a predicted model, not a curated record.
UUGUGAUAUGAUUAAUAUAAUAGCUAUAAACUGCUAAAUUAUUAUUUUUUUAAGUUUUAGAGAUGUUUUGGUAACACUUUACAAUAAGGUUCAUUAGCUAACAUUAGUUUACUACAUAAGUUAAAAUAAACUAAUAAUGAACUGCAUGUAUACAGCAUUUAUUUAUCUUUGUUAAUGUUCAUUUUUAACAAUUACUUGUACUUUAUUAAAAUCUUGUUAACGUUAGUUAAUGCACUGGGAACUAACAUAAAACAAUAAAAAGCUUUAUUUCAAAUAUCUAACAUUAACAAAGACUAAUAAAUACUGUAACAAAUGUAUUGCUAAUGGUUAGUUCAUGUUAGUUAAUACAUUAACUAAUGUUAACUAAUGAACCUCAUUGUAAAGUGUUACCAAUGUGUUUCCUUCAACCCAGCACUUGGUCAAAUACUGUUGGGUUAUAAAUAAACCGCUGGGUAAAUUCAACACCAAUUUAGCAUAGUCCACUUAUAACCUAACAGUUGGGCUUGUACGUAUUUGACCAAACAUUUUUUUAUGGAUAAUAAUUGUACCAUAUUUUUAUCACAAAGACAGUCUAAUUCUGCUGAUUGUUGGCAUAUCCCUGGGAGUGUUGUGUUUUAUCAUCUUCAUUCUCAUUUUAUUCAUCUUUUUAAGGAGACAAACAAAACACAGUCAAAAACCUGGAGACAUCCCAAUACAUAAAAUUAG